GAUGAACGCUGGCGGCGUGCCUAAUACAUGCAAGUCGAACGCUUCACUUCGGUGAAGAGUGGCGAACGGGUGAGUAAUACAUAAGUAACCUGGCAUCUACAGGGGGAUAACUGAUGGAAACGUCAGCUAAGACCGCAUAGGUGUAGAGAUCGCAUGAACUCUAUAUGAAAAGUGCUACGGGACUGGUAGAUGAUGGACUUAUGGCGCAUUAGCUUGUUGGUAGGGUAACGGCCUACCAAGGCGACGAUGCGUAGCCGACCUGAGAGGGUGACCGGCCACACUGGGACUGGGACACGGCCCAGACUCCUACGGGAGGCAGCAGUAGGGAAUUUUCGGCAAUGGGGGAAACCCUGACCGAGCAACGCCGCGUGAAGGAAGAAGUAAUUCGUUAUGUAAACUUCUGUCAUAGAGGAAGAACGGUGGAUAUAGGGAAUGAUAUCCAAGUGACGGUACUCUAUAAGAAAGCCACGGCUAACUACGUG
RNAcentral lists this ribosomal RNA (482 nucleotides) under uncultured bacterium. RNAcentral describes it as "partial 16S ribosomal RNA". It matches the Rfam family "Bacterial small subunit ribosomal RNA", at positions 28 to 507 of the family's 1533-position model. The record is from RNAcentral.